Molecule: long non-coding RNA, 543 nt
Organism: Populus euphratica (Euphrates poplar)
Lineage: Eukaryota; Viridiplantae; Streptophyta; Magnoliopsida; Malpighiales; Salicaceae
Exons: 3
Source: RefSeq, a predicted model, not a curated record
AGUAUUCCGAAAUAGUACGAUAACUGCAAUUCUUUGGUGUCAUAUUGUUUUGCUUUUUUAUAUCAUUACCAAACCGAGCAUAAAAGACAGGAGCAGAAACCUAUUUAUUUAUGAAAAUAAAUAUGAAAGAGGUACGUGGUAAUGAAGAAAACAUGCCAAACAUGAGGCUACAGCUUCAUGUCUUCUUAAUAAAUGUGUUCUUCUAAUUGUUGUUGUCCGUCCAGAAUUGUUUCUGAAGAUAGUCGACUAACUUCUUGUCCACUUGGAAGGCCUUGGUUAGAACAUUAGGAUUAAUGGGUGGAUCUGCUCCAAACACGGCAUUUGCAAUUGUAAUCACACCAGGGUUCUGGCUGCUUAAACUGGCGAAUGCAACGGCAUUGGUUUUUCCCACAUUGAGCUGGAAAUGAACGAGUCCGACUGGGAACACAAAAACAUCUCCAGGAUUUAAGACCUUGGUGAUUAGGCGAUUAUCUCCGUUAGGUAAGUUCGAUGUAACAAAACCGACAUAGAGGGUACCCUCCACGACUACUAGGAUCUCAGUGG